RNAcentral lists this ribosomal RNA (253 nucleotides) under uncultured bacterium. Its description in RNAcentral is "partial 16S ribosomal RNA". It matches the Rfam family "Bacterial small subunit ribosomal RNA", at positions 524 to 776 of the family's 1533-position model. The record is from RNAcentral.
UACGUAGGGGGCAAGCGUUGUCCGGAAUUAUUGGGCGUAAAGAGCGCGUAGGCGGUCCGAUAAGUCGGCUGUGAAAGUCAGGGGCUCAACUCUGGAAUGCCGGCCGAUACUGUCGGACUAGAGUCCGGAAGAGGUGAGUGGAAUUCCCGGUGUAGCGGUGAAAUGCGCAGAUAUCAGGAGGAACACCGGUGGCGAAGGCGGGUCUCUGGGCCGAUAUCGACGCUGAGGAGCGAAAGCCAGGGGAGCAAACGGG